GGUGCUGUGGACUAAUUGGAUAGGCUGGCUCCACUGAAUGGAGCAAGUGCGGAUUCGAAUCCCUCCGGCGCCC
This is a non-coding RNA of Acanthoscelides obtectus, 73 nucleotides long. The record is from the annotation of a GenBank genome assembly. NCBI's taxonomy places the organism in Eukaryota, Metazoa, Arthropoda, Insecta, Coleoptera, Chrysomelidae.